GUUAAAAUUAAUUUUUUUAAUAAAAAAAUAAAAACUAAAAUAAAAAAAAUUUGUUAAUUUUAAAAAAAAACCGAAGGGGGAAAUUAAUAACACUGUGAAAUUAAGAUUUUGUACCUUUAGUAUUAGGGAAUUUUAAAAAAAAUUAAGAAUUUAUUUUUCUCGAAAUUAAUUGAUCUAAAUUGUUAAAAGUUAUUCUUAGCGUUUUAAUGUUAAAAAUAAUAAUUUUUUAGAAGUGAAACUCUUUUCAAAAUUAAUGAUAUCUAGUUAUAAUAAUCAAUUAUAUAUUGACUUUUGAAUUAUUUUUAAUUAUUAAUUUCAAUGGUGAAAUUUUAUGGGAUAAGCUAUAAAGUUAAUAUUUUUAAAAAUUAACUUAAUUACAAAGAAGAAUUGAAAUUUUUCUUAAAUUUGUUAUAAAUAAUUUUUAUUAUUUAUUAAAUAAUAAAAUUUCUUAAUUAAAAAAUUUAACUUAGCAUUUUUUUAAAAAUGAAAUUAUUAGUAUAAGAAAUUAAACAACUUGAUUAUUUUUAAUAAUUUUAGUAAAAAUAAUAAAUAGUUUUAAAGAAUUCGGCAAAUCAAUUUUCUAACUGUUUAAUAAAAACAAUGUAUUUAGCUUAAAUUAAAUAUAAGUCCUGCUCAAUGAAAUAAUUUAAAUUGCUGUAGUAUUUUGACUAUACAAAGGUAUUGUAAUAAGACUUUAAUUGAGUGCUAAGAGAAUGGAAUAUUAGAAAAAUUCUUUUUUAAAAUUAAAAAUUGAAUUUAUUUUUAUUUGUGAAGAAACAAUAAUUUUAAUUAAGGACAAGAAGACCCUAAGAAUUUUAAAAGACCAAUUAGUAUUUAAUUUUAAAUUGGUCUUUUUAAUUGGGGCGAUUAAAAAAGAUUUUCAACUUUUUUUUAAAAAAAAGAUCCAUUAAUAAUGAUUAUAUGAAAAAAAUACUCUAGGGAUAACAGCGUAAUAAUUUUGGAUAGAUCUUAUAAAUAAAAUAGUUUGCGACCUCGAUGUUGGAUUAGGAUACUUAUUUAAUGAAGAAGUUAAUAAUAAGGAGUUUGUUCAACUUUUAAUUUCCUACAUGAUCUGAGUUUAGACCGAUGUGAAUCAGGUUGGUUUCUAUCUUAAUAUUAAUAAUUAUUUUAAUUAGUACGAAAGGAAUUUUAAAUAAAAAUUAUUUUUAUUAAGUUAACAGUUUUUGCAUCAAUUUUUGGAGUU
Molecule: ribosomal RNA, 1204 nt
Filed under: Archaeocroton sphenodonti (tuatara tick)
Lineage: Eukaryota; Metazoa; Arthropoda; Arachnida; Ixodida; Ixodidae
Description: 16S ribosomal RNA
Source: RNAcentral